RNAcentral lists this long non-coding RNA (1004 nucleotides) under Coffea arabica (coffee). RNAcentral describes it as "long non-coding RNA (CARA_LNC003111)". Lineage: Eukaryota; Viridiplantae; Streptophyta; Magnoliopsida; Gentianales; Rubiaceae. The record is from RNAcentral.
AUUAAAAGCCUCUAAAUACAAUCCUUUAUUGUUCAAUUUCACAAAUUAAAAAAAAAAAAAAAACAUUGCAAUAGUUGCACUAAUAACAAAAAGUACAUCAAACAUGACGAAAAGUAUCUAGAGAUUUGAAAAUCAAUCUAUACAACAGAUGUGAAAAAUAAUAAAUAUGAUAAUAAUAUUGAAACUUCAAGGAGAGUAUCUUCCAGUAGAGCUGUGCAUGUUUUCUAAUUGUGAAAUCUUAUAAAAUCUCCUUUAAUCUGAAAGAGAAAUUUAAUCAGAAUAAACAUGAGAAAUUCCAGAUCCAAGAAAUCAGAUCUACAAAAUCUCUCAAAUCUUAUUAAAAAUCUACAAAUAAAAAUGAUUUCUUUUAUAAUUCUUAGUAUCAGCAUGAACCAACUCGUGUGGAAUUUGGACCCUCUAUGGAUCAUGUUUUGAUAUUGCCAAUCAACACUCAUUUAUAUAUCUUCCUAUUUACGCAUUGGGAACUCGUCUAGUGGCAGCUGCGGCGAAGACGAAGAUGAUCAGCAAACAUAGGCCAAAAAGGGACCAAGACAUGAGCUUGAGAGAGAGUGGGAAAGGAACCGUUAGAGCAAAUAAGAAGGCUGUGAAAAUUGAUAGCUUUGCCACCAGCAUCAAAGCACGUCUAAAGUUUGGGAAAGUGAAGGAGAUGAAGUUAGACACAAAAACAGAGGCGAAGGCAAAGAGCAUAGCAAGAGAGAGCAAGUGCAUGAGGAGUGGGAGUUUGAUUUGGGGUUGAAGGGAUUGAAGAGCUAUCUCCACUGCCGAAGUCAAGCAAAAUGCAACGAUUACAGCUCCCCAAUCAAAAUGAUAUGCUGCAUAGUUAACUUGAUGAACAUCACUGGAAACUGUUCCACCUGGUUGUGGAUCAAUCCUGUGCUCCUCAAGUUGAUGAGCAGCCUCGAGGUCAAGAGCAGAAGAAGAAGGUGGGAUAUCUGGGGUGGCUGUUGUUGACGGGGGUGAGGUUGAAAAGAGCAGGGUCAAAU